GAUGAACGCUGGCGGCGUGCCUAAUACAUGCAAGUCGAGCGAACGGACGAGAAUCUUGCUUCUCUGAUGUUAGCGGCGGACGGGUGAGUAACACUUGUAUAACCUACCUAUAAUACUGGGAUAACUUCGGGAAACCUUAGCUAAUACCGGAUAAUAUUUUGAACCGCAUGGUUCAAAAGUGAAAGACGGUCUUGCUGUCACUUAUAGAUGGAUCCGCGCUGCAUUAGCUAGUUGGUAAGGUAACGGCUUACCAAGGCAACGAUGCAUAGCCGACCUGAGAGGGUGAUCGGCCACACUGGAACUGAGACACGGUCCAGACGACUACGGGAGGCAGCAGUAGGGAAUCUUCCGCAAUGGGCGAAAGCCUGACGGAGCAACGCCGCGUGAGUGAUGAAGGUCUACGGAUCGUAAAACUCUGUUAUUAGGGAAGAACAUAUGUGUAAGUAACUGUGCACAUCUUGACGGUACCUAAUCAGAAAGCCACGGCUAACUACGUG
This 497-nucleotide ribosomal RNA is filed under the name uncultured bacterium. RNAcentral's name for it is "partial 16S ribosomal RNA". It matches the Rfam family "Bacterial small subunit ribosomal RNA", at positions 28 to 507 of the family's 1533-position model. The record is from RNAcentral.